AACGAACGCUGGCGGCAUGCCUAACACAUGCAAGUCGAACGAGACCUUCGGGUCUAGUGGCGCACGGGUGCGUAACGCGUGGGAACCUGCCCUUAGGUUCGGAAUAACUCCCCGAAAGGGGUGCUAAUACCGGAUAAUGUCUUCGGACCAAAGAUUUAUCGCCUUUGGAUGGGCCCGCGUUGGAUUAGCUAGUUGGUAGGGUAAAAGCCUACCAAGGCGACGAUCCAUAGCUGGUCUGAGAGGAGGAUCAGCCACACUGGGACUGAGACACGGCCCAGACUCCUACGGGAGGCAGCAGUGGGUAAUAUUGGACAAGGGGCGAAGGCCUGAUCCAGCAAUGCCGCGUGAGUGAUGAAGGCCUUAGGGUUGUAAAGCUCUUUUACCCGAGAUGAUAAUGACAGUACCGGGAGAAUAAGCUCCGGCUAACUCCGUG
This 433-nucleotide ribosomal RNA is filed under the name uncultured bacterium. RNAcentral's name for it is "partial 16S ribosomal RNA". It matches the Rfam family "Bacterial small subunit ribosomal RNA", at positions 29 to 507 of the family's 1533-position model. The record is from RNAcentral.